This 622-nucleotide ribosomal RNA is filed under the name Brevibacterium ravenspurgense. Its description in RNAcentral is "bacterial LSU rRNA". It matches the Rfam family "Bacterial large subunit ribosomal RNA", at positions 1 to 584 of the family's 2925-position model. Lineage: Bacteria; Bacillati; Actinomycetota; Actinomycetes; Micrococcales; Brevibacteriaceae. The record is from RNAcentral.
GUGAGUGUUCAAGGGCGCAUGGUGGAUGCCUUGGCAUCAAGAGCCGAUGAAGGACGCGGUAAUCUGCGAUAAGCCUCGGGGAGUUGGUAAACGAGCUGUGAUCCGAGGGUGUCCGAAUGGGGGAACCUCGCUGCGUGUUGUGCGUAGUGACCACAGGGUGAAUGUAUAGCCUUGUUGGGGGUGACGUGGGGAAGUGAAACAUCUCAGUACCCAUAGGAAGAGAAAAUAAUAAUGAUUCUGUUAGUAGUGGCGAGCGAACGCGGAAGAGCCUAAACCGUGUGUGUGUCAAGCGUGCUGGUGUUGCAUGCGCGGUGUUGUGGGGCCAAUCGUCUCAGUUCAGCAUGGCUGGGGCAUGGAUGCAGUGUGGUAGGUGAACAGGUUGGGAAGCCUGACCGGAGUGGGUGAGAGUCCCGUAGCUGAAACUGUGCUGGUUUGUGUGUGUUGGUGCCCGAGUAGCACGGUACUCGUGGAAUGUCGUGUGAAUCUGCCAGGACCACCUGGUAAGGCUGAAUACUCUUGGUGACCGAUAGCGGAUAGUACCGUGAGGGAAUGGUGAAAAGUACCCCGGGAGGGGAGUGAAAGAGUACCUGAAACCGUGUGCCUACAAUCCGUCAGAGCCCUU